GGACUACCGGGGUAUCUAAUCCUGUUUGAUACCCACACUUUCGUGCCUCAGCGUCAGUUAUAAUUUAGUAAGCUGCCUUCGCAAUCGGUGUUCUUGACAAUAUCUAUGCAUUUCACCGCUACACUGUCAAUUCCGCCUACCUCAAGUAUACUCAAGUCUAACAGUAUCAAUGGCAGUUCUCCAGUUGAGCUGGAGGCUUUCACCACUGACUUAUUAGACCGCCUACGCACCCUUUAAACCCAAUAAAUCCGGACAACGCUUGCACCCUCCGUAUUACCGCGGCUGCUGGCAC
This 292-nucleotide ribosomal RNA is filed under the name uncultured Bacteroidota bacterium. RNAcentral describes it as "uncultured Bacteroidetes bacterium partial 16S ribosomal RNA". The record is from RNAcentral. Lineage: Bacteria; Pseudomonadati; Bacteroidota.